CAUGGUGGCGGCGCCCCCUUUGUGGCUGAUUUGUUAAAGUUUCAAAUGGGCCCCGGGGCAACCACACAGAAGGCAGAGGAGCCGGAGAGCCUGGUGGCGGUGAGCUCUCUUCCAUCAGGAACUCCUUGGCUUCCACAGGA
Small nucleolar RNA from Ornithorhynchus anatinus (platypus), 140 nucleotides. RefSeq annotates it as small nucleolar RNA SNORA12. The record is from RefSeq and is a predicted model, not a curated record. NCBI's taxonomy places the organism in Eukaryota, Metazoa, Chordata, Mammalia, Monotremata, Ornithorhynchidae. The transcript has a single exon.